GAUGAACGCUGGCGGCGUGCCUAAUACAUGCAAGUCGAGCGAACAGACGAGGAGCUUGCUCCUCUGACGUUAGCGGCGGACGGGUGAGUAACACGUGGAUAACCUACCUAUAAGACUGGGAUAACUUCGGGAAACCGGAGCUAAUACCGGAUAAUAUAUUGAACCGCAUGGUUCAAUAGUGAAAGACGGUUUUGCUGUCACUUAUAGAUGGAUCCGCGCCGCAUUAGCUAGUUGGUAAGGUAACGGCUUACCAAGGCAACGAUGCGUAGCCGACCUGAGAGGGUGAUAGGCCACACGGGAACUGAGACACGGUCCAGACUCCUACGGGAGGCAGCAGUAGGGAAUCUGCCGCAGUGGGCGAAAGCCUGACGGAGCAACGCCGCGUGAGUGAUGAAGGUCUUCGGAUCGUAAAACUCUGUUAUUAGGGAAGAACAAAUGUGUAAGUAACUAUGCACGUCUUGACGGUACCUAAUCAGAAAGCCACGGCUAACUACGUG
Molecule: ribosomal RNA, 497 nt
Filed under: uncultured bacterium
Lineage: Bacteria
Description: partial 16S ribosomal RNA
Rfam family: Bacterial small subunit ribosomal RNA
Source: RNAcentral